Molecule: small nuclear RNA, 99 nt
Organism: Equus asinus (donkey)
Lineage: Eukaryota; Metazoa; Chordata; Mammalia; Perissodactyla; Equidae
Source: Ensembl
GGGCUGGCUUUGGCAGCACGUAUACUAAAUUUGGACCAACACACAGAUUAGCAUGACCCUUGUGCAAGGAUGUAAAUUCGUGAAGCAUUUCAGUUUUUU